AAACACGGAGUAUAGCCGUUGGGCUGUACCUUUUUUUAAUUUAAAAAAAAGUGAGAACCCUCCCUUUUAGCGCCACGUGUCAAAAGUUGUUUUUUCAAAAAAUCUUAGUAUAGCCGCACGGCUGUACUAUUUCAUUAAAAGAAAUAAAAAAUAAAAAAUCCAAAAGGACCCUCCUAGUUGCAUUAGUUUGUACCUUAUAAAUAUUAAUUUGCUAGUUUCAACAUAUCCAAAGUAGAUACUAAUCUUCCACUCUAAUAAUUUUUAUAACAUAUGUUAUUCUUAUUCAAUAACAUGUGAGAAUUAUUUGUAUAAUACGUGAAUUUUGUGUGUCUUACUCAAAUUUUUGUAAAAAUUACGUGUAUGAAACAUUAAAAAUACGUACGUACAUUUAUGUUGUUUUUUUAAAAAUUAUUAUCACUAUAUAAACUCUUUAACCCAAUUUNNNNNNNNNNNNNNNNNNNNNNNNNNNNNNNNNNNNNNNNNNNNNNNNNNNNNNNNNNNNNNNNNNNNNNNNNNNNNNNNNNNNNNNNNNNNNNNNNNNNUAAUACUCAUAGGUUUUAUUAUUAGUUACCGCUCGUCUUAUUACUAUUUAUAAAGACAAUUUAUUUUUUAAUUGUUUUUUAGAAAGUAAAGCCGGCCGGCUAUACUCGUUUUUUGAAAAAAGAAAGAAAAAAGAUGAAAAAUCGAGUAUAGCCGCGCGGCUAUACUAUCUCCUUGUGAAAAACAGAGCAGCUGCAGAGCGUCCACGUGUUAAAUAGUAUAGCCGGGCGGCUAGACUGUUUCGAAAAUCUAAACUCAGUAUAGCCGUGCGGCUAUAUUAUUUUUAAAUAUAAAAAACAGUUGAACCCCAUCCAUUUGGGGCCACGUGUCAACACAAGGUCAAUUUUAAAAAAAAUUUGAAACACGGAGUAUAGCCGUUGGGCUGUACCUUUUUUUAAUUUAAAAAAAAGUGAGAACCCUCCCUUUUAGCGCCACGUGUCAAAAGUUGUUUUUUCAAAAAAUCUUAGUAUAGCCGCACGGCUGUACUAUUUCAUUAAAAGAAAUAAAAAAUAAAAAAUCCAAAAGGACCCUCCUAGUUGCAUUAGUUUGUACCUUAUAAAUAUUAAUUUGCUAGUUUCAACAUAUCCAAAGUAGAUACUAAUCUUCCACUCUAAUAAUUUUUAUAACAUAUGUUAUUCUUAUUCAAUAACAUGUGAGAAUUAUUUGUAUAAUACGUGAAUUUUGUGUGUCUUACUCAAAUUUUUGUAAAAAUUACGUGUAUGAAACAUUAAAAAUACGUACGUACAUUUAUGUUGUUUUUUUUAAAAUUAUUAUCACUAUAUAAACUCUUUAACCCAAUUUAAUUAAUUAACUCAUAGGUUUUAAUUUAUUAGUUACCGCUCGUCUAUACUAUUUAUUAAAGACAUUUUAUUUUUUAAUUGUUUUUUUAGAAAGUAAAGCCGGCCGGCUAUACUCCUUUUUUUGAAAAAAAAAGAAAAAAGAAGAAAAAUAGAGUAUAGCCGCGCGGCUAUACUAUCUCCUUGUGAAAAACAGAGCAGCUGCAGAGCGUCCACGUGUUAAAUAGUAUAGCCGGGCGGCUAGACUGUUUCGAAAAUCUAAACUCUGUAUAGCCGUGCGGCUAUAUUAUUUUUAAAUAUAAAAACAGUUGAACCCCAUCCAUUUGGCGCCACGUGUCAACACAAGGUCAAUUUUAAAAAAAAUUUAAAACACGGAGUAUAGCCGUUGGGCUGUACCUUGUUUUUAUUUAAAAAAAAGUGAGAACCCUCCCUUUUAGCGCCACGUGUCAAAAGUUGUUUUUUCAAAAAAUCUUAGUAUAGCCGCACGGCUGUACUAUUUCAUUAAAAGAAAUAAAAAAUAAAAAAUCCAAAAGGACCCUCCUAGUUGCAUUAGUUUGUACCUUAUAAAUAUUAAUUUGCUAGUUUCAACAUAUCCAAAGUAGAUACUAAUCUUCCACUCUAAUAAUUUUUAUAACAUAUGUUAUUCUUAUUCAAUAACAUGUGAGAAUUAUUUGUAUAAUACGUGAAUUUUGUGUGUCUUACUCAAAUUUUUGUUAAAAUUACGUGUAUGAAACAUUAAAAAUACGUACGUACAUUUAUGUUGUUUUUUUAAAAAUUAUUAUCACUAUAUAAACUCUUUAACCCAAUUUAAUUAAUUAACUAAUAGGUUUUAAUUUAUUAGUU
This 2180-nucleotide long non-coding RNA is filed under the name Prunus persica (peach). RNAcentral's name for it is "long non-coding RNA (PPER_LNC008656)". The record is from RNAcentral. Lineage: Eukaryota; Viridiplantae; Streptophyta; Magnoliopsida; Rosales; Rosaceae.